CACCAAACCCAAUAUACUAAAAAUAAAGUCUCUCUAAACCCCAAACCUUGUCCAAACAUUAAACUUCUUCUUCUUCUUCCUCCUUUCCACACCACAGAAACAACUACAAAAGAAACAAAGGAAGUCCAUCAAUGGAGGGCCUCAUUCCUUUGGUGUACAAGGCAAUAAAGAACAACAAAACCCGCCAGCAAUACGAGUGUCUGUCUUCUGGUUCUGCUCUUGGUUACAACCCUGCGGAUUUUCAUAAUGAAGCUGAGGUAUUCCUCAAAGCUGCAGCUUCAAACGAGAAAGGGAAUAUUGCAGGGAAAAAACUCCACAGGCGAUUCAGUUCUGUAGAAGAUUUCACGGUGACCCAUGUUUCUCCUCCUCGGAAGCAGCUUGUGAGGUUCAGGAGCCAUAGAAUGUUUUCUUGUGUUACAGGUGCCUAGAGAAAAAACAAGAUCAAAUCUUUAUGUUCUUGUUCAUUAAUUGUUUAUUUUAUUUUAUUUUUCAAUUUUCUCUGUAUUGGCUGCGUACAUCAACUCUCUUCUCUCUUCAGAAUUCAUAAGUGUGAGAUGUUUCGUUCACUUCAUCACCCAUUUUUCUCUGUGUUGUCUGUUAGUUGAAGAGAUGAAGCUGCUAGGGCUAGCUGUGAUAGUAGGAUGCCUGUGGGCUCAAUCCCAGAUUAGCAUACCUUAAUUUCUUGAUUUUAAAUCUGAAAGAGAUCUAAAAUUAAGAAUAUUGUCACAUGUAUAUAUGGCCGUCAAUAAUGUUUUCUACAAUCUCUUUUUCUUCAUUACUAAUAGCUGGCUUGCAAGUAGCCAAUUAUACAUGUUAUCUCUUUAAUAGCUGGCUUGCAAAUAGCUAAUUACAAUCACCUUUCCUUUACACCAUUCAAGAUCACGAGAUGUUACAGGCCUAUUAGCUUUUGCUUUGUUCAUCUCCAAACCACUUUAAGACUAAU
RNAcentral lists this unclassified non-coding RNA (943 nucleotides) under Hevea brasiliensis (rubber tree). The record is from RNAcentral. Lineage: Eukaryota; Viridiplantae; Streptophyta; Magnoliopsida; Malpighiales; Euphorbiaceae.